GAUGAACGCUAGCGGCGUGCCUAAUACAUGCAAGUCGAGCGAACAGACGAGGAGCUUGCUCCUCUGACGUUAGCGGCGGACGGGUGAGUAACACGUGGAUAACCUACCUAUAAGACUGGGAUAACUUCGGGAAACCGGCGCUAAUACCGGAUAAUAUAUUGAACCGCAUGGUUCAAUAGUGAAAGACGGUUUUGCUGUCACUUAUAGAUGGAUCCGCGCCGCAUUAGCUAGUUGGUAAGGUAACGGCUUACCAAGGCGACGAUGCGUAGCCGACCUGAGAGGGUGAUCGGCCACACUGGAACUGAGACACGGUCCAGACUCCUACGGGAGGCAGCAGUAGGGAAUCUUCCGCAAUGGGCGAAAGCCUGACGGAGCAACGCCGCGUGAGUGAUGAAGGUCUUCGGAUCGUAAAACUCUGUUAUUAGGGAAGAACAAAUGUGUAAGUAACUAUGCACGUCUUGACGGUACCUAAUCAGAAAGCCACGGCUAACUACGUG
RNAcentral lists this ribosomal RNA (497 nucleotides) under uncultured bacterium. RNAcentral's name for it is "partial 16S ribosomal RNA". It matches the Rfam family "Bacterial small subunit ribosomal RNA", at positions 28 to 507 of the family's 1533-position model. The record is from RNAcentral.